UAAGAUUAGCAUGGCCCCUGCACAAGGUUGACAUGCAAAUUUGUGAAGCAUUCCAUAUUUUU
This is a small nuclear RNA of Bos grunniens (domestic yak), 62 nucleotides long. Lineage: Eukaryota; Metazoa; Chordata; Mammalia; Artiodactyla; Bovidae. The record is from Ensembl.